Chiloscyllium plagiosum (whitespotted bambooshark) is the source of this 1378-nucleotide non-coding RNA. Lineage: Eukaryota; Metazoa; Chordata; Chondrichthyes; Orectolobiformes; Hemiscylliidae. The record is from RefSeq and is a predicted model, not a curated record.
CUGCAGCUUUCCAAAGGAACUGUGACGUGGGGAAUCCGUACAGGGAAUGCCGCCUACGAUACGAAACUCGCAGCUAGCUGUUUGUAUGUAUCCCAUCAUUACAAACAUCAGUUUGUCUACUGUGGUAUAAACUCUGCUCCACCUAAAAAUCAUUUCAGUGGUAUGCAUUCACUCGGAGUAUGUGGUGUAAUUGAAGAGUUAAUCCAUUUCAGCAUAUUGAUAAUAAAUGAGCUUCACUGUUAUUUUGCAUUUGCCUUACACCAUAUUCCAGAAAUAACUGGGAAUGCAACUCCAUGGACAUUAACAGUAUAUUGCCUGAGUUAGUAAACAAGAAGAUUGCAUCAGCAUUACUACUUGUCUGAUUAUUACAUUUAAUUUUCUAUCUGGAUGAUAAUAGGUGUAACAUUUACGAGGAUGUGAAACUUAUAUUUGUUUGUGCCUGGUUAAGAUUGCUGCACUUGUAGCUGUGGAUUUUGCAGUCAGGGUGGGUGGUGAAUGGCUAUGAUUAAAUAUCUGUCUUGGGUUUCUUGCUUGUAAAGGCAUUUGUGUGCUUUUUCUUCUGCAGUUAUGAUUACUUUCUGUGUACUUGUUUCUACUGUAUACUUCUGCUGCUUCCUGCAACUUCUGGGGUUUCGAUGUUUAGAUGAAUGUAUAAAAAUAGAAAGUUUACUCUCAUAUUUUUGUGGUGACUAUCAUGAUUUGCUUCAAUCAUUAUUGACUACACUUUGUGUAAUCUGCAACUAAUGAGGUAGAUCAAUCCAAAGGUGUGUGCUUGAACAUGUGUUAUUAUUGAAUGCUGUUGAUAAAAAUAAUCAGUGGUUAGUCUCUUAGUUUGUAGAUGUAUCACUUGUGUUGCUUUUGGUGUGUCUAAUUCUUUAGGUUUUCUUUUUGUCACGCCUUGCAUUGACCUUUUGACUGUCUGUCUGUCUCGCAAUAGGCAGUUAAUGCAUAUAGAGUAGUUUUGUUGAGCUGCCUGUGAUAAAUGGAGGGGAGCUCAUUAGUUCAAAUAGAAUUAGUUCAGUUUCCGCGAUCCAAAAUUAAUCAUUUGUAAUGCUGUGUAAUAACCAUGUAAAAAGCAGGCACUGUGAACUGUGUAAGAUUUUCUGAUUUUUUCCCCCAUAAACUGUUAUCCUUCUGAUAGUUGAUACAAGUAUUUUUAAAUGGCUUUUACUUUAAUUUGACAAAACGGUAAAAUUGAGUGUUUCCAAAUUGUUUGUUCAAAGGGGUUUUUUUAUACGUUGACUGGAAUGGCUAGGCAUUAACUCUGAUUGUGCAGAAAUUCCAUUCCAAAACACAUUUUAAUUGCAUCUAGAACUGGACAAAUGAUGUGUUGAGACCAGCAUGUCUCCUUCUGACAUACUGUUAUAAUCCUUUUGCA